GUGAGUCAUCGAAUCUUUGAACGCACAUUGCGCCCCUUGGUAUUCCGAGGGGCAUGCCCGUUCGAGCGUCAUUAUAACCCCUCAAGCCUAGCUUGGUGUUGGAGCCUGCUGUUACCGGCAGCUCUUAAAAUCAGUGGCGGUGCUAUCUGGCUCUAAGCGUAGUAAUACUUCUCGCUACAGGGUCCCGGUGGAUGCUUGCCAUCAACCCCUAAUUUUCUAUGGUUGACCUCGGAUCGGGUAGGGAUACCCGCUGAACUUAAGCAUAUCAAUAAGCGGAGGA
Molecule: unclassified non-coding RNA, 280 nt
Filed under: Leohumicola sp.
Lineage: Eukaryota; Fungi; Ascomycota; Leotiomycetes
Description: partial contains 5.8S ribosomal RNA, internal transcribed spacer 2, and large subunit ribosomal RNA
Rfam family: 5.8S ribosomal RNA (bases 1-71)
Source: RNAcentral